CAGUAGCCGCGGGAAUACGUAGGUGGCAAGCGUUGUCCGGAAUUAUUGGGCGUAAAGGGCUCGCAGGCGGUUUCUUAGGUCUGAUGUGAAAGCCCCCGGCUCAACCGGGGAGGGUCAUUGGAAACUGGGAAACUUGAGUGCAGAAGAGGAGAGUGGAAUUCCACGUGUAGCGGUGAAAUGCGUAGAGAUGUGGAGGAACACCAGUGGCGAAGGCGACUCUCUGGUCUGUAACUGACGCUGAGGAGCGAAAGCGUGGGGAGCGAACAGGAUUAGAUACCCCAGUAGUCCCUGUCUCUUAUAC
This 301-nucleotide ribosomal RNA is filed under the name uncultured bacterium. Its description in RNAcentral is "partial 16S ribosomal RNA". It matches the Rfam family "Bacterial small subunit ribosomal RNA", at positions 509 to 807 of the family's 1533-position model. The record is from RNAcentral.